Long non-coding RNA from Magnolia sinica, 442 nucleotides. RefSeq lists it as uncharacterized. The transcript has 2 exons. NCBI's taxonomy places the organism in Eukaryota, Viridiplantae, Streptophyta, Magnoliopsida, Magnoliales, Magnoliaceae. The record is from RefSeq and is a predicted model, not a curated record.
CCAAAAUAAAAACUAAUCAAAGAAAUCUAAAGCGUUCAUGAUAUUCUAAAUAACAUAAAUAAUCAAAACUUAAAAUAUGAAAUUAAUCCGACUAGUGGGCCCCGAUCAUGAGAUCCCAUGAUGGGCUUUACUUGAUUAUCAGGCCCACUCCAAGGACCCAAAACUCCGUCUUCUAAUUAGGGGGCCCUCUCUGGACGUCGUUAUCGAGCCAGAUCGAUGGUGGGGUCCUCCCUCUCCUUGCGUACGGGUCCUAAACAAUCCUAUAUGAUGAAAUUUAAUGCAAAAUAAACGCGAGUAGACUAAACCCUAAACAUGCAAUGCAUUCCUCUAUAAGAACCCUAAGCUCUGAUACCAAAUUUGAUGCAGGACAUGGAAAUUAAAUAUGAUAUGCAAGAUUUCAGGCUUUAGAUCAUACUAAUUGUAAAACAAACACAAAAAAAUU